GAUGAACGCUGGCGGCGUGCCUAAUACAUGCAAGUCGAGCGAACAGACGAUAAGCUUGCUUCUCUGACGUUAGCGGCGGACGGGUGAGUAACACGUGGAUAACCUACCUAUAAGACUGGGAUAACUUCGGGAAACCGGAGCUAAUACCGGAUGAUAUUUUGAACCGCAUGGUUCAAUAGUGAAAGACGGUCUUGCUGUCACUUAUAGAUGGAUCCGCGCUGCAUUAGCUAGUUGGUAAGGUAACGGCUUACCAAGGCAACGAUGCAUAGCCGACCUGAGAGGCGGGUCGCCCGCCAGGGAACUUGACCGGCGUCCAGGCUCCUGAGGGAGGGAGCAGAGGGGGACGGUCGGCAAUAGGGGAAAACCUGGCAGAACAACCGCGAGUGAGAUGUGGAAGUCUUCGGAUCGGAAAAAUGUGUUAUUGGGGAAAAACAGAUGUGGAAGGUAAUGAGGACAGCGUGACGGUAACUAAUAAAGAAGCAACGGCUAACUACGUG
RNAcentral lists this ribosomal RNA (497 nucleotides) under uncultured bacterium. RNAcentral's name for it is "partial 16S ribosomal RNA". It matches the Rfam family "Bacterial small subunit ribosomal RNA", at positions 28 to 507 of the family's 1533-position model. The record is from RNAcentral.